CUUCAUACUAAUUUUAGAAACUCUUCAGACCAGACAAGCCAUCAAUGGCCUGGUUUGCCUUUUAGAAGAAGUAGACAUCAAUCAGCCACUGAAGACAAGAAGAGGACGGUCCUGGGGCACUCAACUUCUUCUAAGGUGGAAGUUUGCUUCUAAGGAAAAAUACUGGAAGGAAUAAAAUGCAGCCAAGAGGGGUCGUCGCUUUAACACACACCUGCUCUUUCCUCCCCAUCAGCAGGUGCCCAACAAGAUUGUUGACGAUGUCUGUGUCUACACCAGCAUUUCUCGAUCACCAGUCCCGGCCAUGGAAGCAACAUAUUCCUGCCUUAGGUUUAUUUCUCUCCCUUCUCUGCUUCUGGAUCGUCUCUCCCAUCUCCUCACCCAUCUCCUCCUCCACCACUUACCACCUGCUAUCAGAAUCAGGGUGGAAAACGUGGGCACAUGACCAUGAGUUUUUAGUAUAGUUUUAACAAAAACACAAAAUUCCACAUAAUGCCAUAACAUUAGGUGGCUUCUCUUUAAAAAAAAAAAAAAAAACAAAACAGAAACACAACCCAAAACUAUUGUGUAGACCAGAACACAUAUCAUUUGGUGAUUGAAUUUUUCUGUUUGUUUUUUCUACCAGUCAUGCAAUGUACACUUAAUACAACUCUGAGACUCUUUGAGUACAAACUAGCAAGAAUUGAAACAUUUUACAGACUAACAACUCCAUUUAAAUUCUUGUUUUUACUUGAGUGGGUAAAGAGAUAGGAUAGCUGAAGAGUACCAAGUAAAGGGGUGGGGUAGGUCAUCCCCAGUGGGGUAUCAGAUCAUUGUUCAGUCGACAUGGCCUUAGCCACACUUCCUGAUUCACUGGGAAGUGUUCCUUGUGCAUCAUUUUUGCUCUUGGCCAGCUUACCCCCAUUCUCCACUGCUGCUGCGGCCAUGCCCACAGAUGCCCCAUCAACCGAGUGGCCCCUCUUCCCGUCCCAGGGAAUUAAUGGGCUCCCGGCACUUAUUAGAAGAGGUAGCAGAUCUGGAAAAGGAAAUCAAAACGCAGUAGAGAAGGCAGAACACAGUUUGGGGAGUCUCUGGCAAAUCUGAGUUCAGGUCUGAACUUUAAUACGUGCUGGCUGUGAGGCUUUGAGGAACUCA
Molecule: long non-coding RNA, 1131 nt
Organism: Herpailurus yagouaroundi (jaguarundi)
Lineage: Eukaryota; Metazoa; Chordata; Mammalia; Carnivora; Felidae
Exons: 4
Source: RefSeq, a predicted model, not a curated record